GCUGGGUGUGGUGGUGCGCGCCUAUAAUCCCAGCUACUCAGGAGGCUGAGGCAGGAGAAUCGCUUGAACUCAGGAGGUGGAGGUUGCAGUGAGCCGAGAUUGCGCCACUGCACUCCAGCCUGGGUGACAGAGUGAGACUCUGUCUCAG
RNAcentral lists this non-coding RNA (148 nucleotides) under Nomascus leucogenys (northern white-cheeked gibbon). Lineage: Eukaryota; Metazoa; Chordata; Mammalia; Primates; Hylobatidae. The record is from Rfam by way of RNAcentral.